UACGUAGGGUGCAAGCGUUGUCCGGAAUUAUUGGGCGUAAAGAGCUCGUAGGCGGUUAGUCGCGUCUGCUGUGAAAACUCGGGGCUUAACCCUGGGCCUGCAGUGGGUACGGGCUGACUAGAGUGCGGUAGGGGAGACUGGAAUUCCUGGUGUAGCGGUGAAAUGCGCAGAUAUCAGGAGGAACACCGGUGGCGAAGGCGGGUCUCUGGGCCGUAACUGACGCUGAGGAGCGAAAGCGUGGGGAGCAAACAGG
This 253-nucleotide ribosomal RNA is filed under the name uncultured bacterium. RNAcentral's name for it is "partial 16S ribosomal RNA". It matches the Rfam family "Bacterial small subunit ribosomal RNA", at positions 524 to 776 of the family's 1533-position model. The record is from RNAcentral.